GGAGAGGUGCCCGAGUGGCUGAAGGGGCACGCCUGGAAAGCGUGUGUGCGGGUAACCGUACCGAGGGUUCGAAUCCCUCUCUCUCCGCAA
RNAcentral lists this transfer RNA (90 nucleotides) under Pimelobacter sp. RNAcentral describes it as "tRNA-Ser". It matches the Rfam family "tRNA". From Rfam's summary of the family: Transfer RNA (tRNA) molecules are approximately 80 nucleotides in length. Their secondary structure includes four short double-helical elements and three loops (D, anti-codon, and T loops). Further hydrogen bonds mediate the characteristic L-shaped molecular structure. tRNAs have two regions of fundamental functional importance: the anti-codon, which is responsible for specific mRNA codon recognition, and the 3' end, to which the tRNAs corresponding amino acid is attached (by aminoacyl-tRNA synthetases). tRNAs cope with the degeneracy of the genetic code in two manners: having more than one tRNA (with a specific anti-codon) for a particular amino acid; and 'wobble' base-pairing, i.e. permitting non-standard base-pairing at the 3rd anti-codon position. Lineage: Bacteria; Bacillati; Actinomycetota; Actinomycetes; Propionibacteriales; Nocardioidaceae. RNAcentral also lists the same sequence under 1 other name. The record is from RNAcentral.